UGAGGAAUAUUGGACAAUGGGUUAGCGCCUGAUCCAGCCAUCCCGCGUGAAGGACGACGGCCCUAUGGGUUGUAAACUUCUUUUGUAUAGGGAUAAACCUACUCUCGUGAGAGUAGCUGAAGGUACUAUACGAAUAAGCACCGGCUAACUCCGUGCCAGCAGCCGCGGUAAUACGGAGGGUGCAAGCGUUAUCCGGAUUUAUUGGGUUUAAAGGGUCCGAGGCGGAUCUGUAAGUCAGUGGUGAAAUCUCAUAGCUUAACUAUGAAACUGCCAUUGAUACUGCAGGUCUUGAGUAAAUUUGAAGUGGCUGGAAUAAGUAGUGUAGCGGUGAAAUGCAUAGAUAUUACUUAGAACACCAAUUGCGAAGGCAGGUCACUAAGAUUUAAAUCUGACGCUGAUGGAC
RNAcentral lists this ribosomal RNA (403 nucleotides) under uncultured bacterium. Its description in RNAcentral is "partial 16S ribosomal RNA". It matches the Rfam family "Bacterial small subunit ribosomal RNA", at positions 355 to 754 of the family's 1533-position model. The record is from RNAcentral.